Dasypus novemcinctus (nine-banded armadillo) is the source of this 315-nucleotide unclassified non-coding RNA. Its record names the gene 7SK. It matches the Rfam family "7SK RNA". Rfam says of the family: 7SK was discovered as an abundant small nuclear RNA in the mid-70s but a possible function has only recently been suggested. Two independent studies have found that 7SK RNA binds the CDK9/cyclin T complex (known as elongation factor P-TEFb). P-TEFb activates transcription by phosphorylating the C-terminal domain of RNA polymerase II. Lineage: Eukaryota; Metazoa; Chordata; Mammalia; Cingulata; Dasypodidae. The record is from Ensembl.
GGAUGUGAGAGCGAUCCAGCUGUGACAUCUGACACCCUGUUGAUCGUCAGUGUUGAUUAGGCUGAUCUGGCUGGUUAUGUGGUUGUCCCCUUCCUCCCUCACUGCCCUAUGUGCAUCCCUCCAGAAGUAUCAUGCUGUUCAAAGAGGACAACCUUCCUUGCUAGAGGAGUAUCGCUUUUUGGUCAAGGAAUAAAGGUGUAGCUGUGAUCCCCUGCUAGAACCUCUAAACAAGCUCUCAAUGCCCAUUGGUAGGAGAACAUGGAAAAUGUGGUCAGAUUAAGUGUAUGGUAUUUGAAUGUGGUUCAACCUGUCUUU